Molecule: ribosomal RNA, 450 nt
Filed under: uncultured bacterium
Lineage: Bacteria
Description: partial 16S ribosomal RNA
Rfam family: Bacterial small subunit ribosomal RNA
Source: RNAcentral
CCUACGGGUGGCAGCAGUGGGGAAUUUUGGACAAUGGGGGCAACCCUGAUCCAGCCAUGCCGCGUGAGUGAAGAAGGCCUUCGGGUUGUAAAGCUCUUUCGGCCGGGAAGAAAUCGCUCAAGCUAAUACCUUGGGUGGAUGACGGUACCGGAAGAAGAAGCACCGGCUAACUACGUGCCAGCAGCCGCGGUAAUACGUAGGGUGCGAGCGUGGAUCGGAAUUACUGGGCGUAAAGCGUGCGGAGGCGGCGGAAAUCCCCGGGCGUAAGCUGGGAACUGCGUUGGUGACUGUGGUGGUCGAGUGCGGCAGAGGGGGGUGGAAUUCCACGUGUAGCAGUGAAAUGCGUAGAGAUGUGGAGGAACACCGAUGGCGAAGGCAGCCCCCUGGGUCGACACUGACGCUCAUGCACGAAAGCGUGGGGAGCAAACAGGAUUAGAUACCCCGGUAGUC